Molecule: small RNA, 160 nt
Filed under: Pedobacter sp. SG908
Lineage: Bacteria; Pseudomonadati; Bacteroidota; Sphingobacteriia; Sphingobacteriales; Sphingobacteriaceae
Also listed under: 1 other name
Description: Flavo-1 RNA
Rfam family: Flavo-1 RNA
Source: RNAcentral
UGUUAACCAAACCUGACAGCAGUGAAAAUCCUUUUUGUUUGCAAUAAAAUAAUAUAAACUGUCAAGCUGAGGAACGAAGCAUCUGCAGCCUAUAUAACAGAUACCUGCGUUUCAGCACCACAGCACCACAAAAAGAUUGGAGCGAAUGGCAGGACCAUCG